Molecule: microRNA, 21 nt
Filed under: Danio rerio (zebrafish)
Lineage: Eukaryota; Metazoa; Chordata; Actinopteri; Cypriniformes; Danionidae
Description: dre-miR-2195
Source: miRBase by way of RNAcentral
AGAUUGGGGUGAGUUAGGGUG